UUCGCAGGAGGCAAGCGUUGUCCGGAAUUACUGGGUGUAAAGGGCGUGUAGGCGGGACUGCAAGUCAGAUGUGAAAUUCCCAGGCUCAACCUGGGGGCUGCAUCUGAAACUGUGGUUCUUGAGUGCUGGAGAGGAAAGCGGAAUUCCUAGUGUAGCGGUGAAAUGCGUAGAUAUUAGGAGGAACACAAGUGGCGAAGGCGGCUUUCUGGACAGUAACUGACGCUGAGGCGCGAAAGCGUGGGGAGCAAACAGG
RNAcentral lists this ribosomal RNA (253 nucleotides) under uncultured bacterium. RNAcentral's name for it is "partial 16S ribosomal RNA". It matches the Rfam family "Bacterial small subunit ribosomal RNA", at positions 524 to 776 of the family's 1533-position model. The record is from RNAcentral.